This 447-nucleotide ribosomal RNA is filed under the name uncultured bacterium. RNAcentral's name for it is "bacterial SSU rRNA". It matches the Rfam family "Bacterial small subunit ribosomal RNA", at positions 355 to 825 of the family's 1533-position model. The record is from RNAcentral.
UCGGGAAUUUUGGGCAAUGGGGGAAACCCUGACCCAGCAACGCCGCGUGAAGGAUGAAGUAUUUCGGUAUGUAAACUUCGAAAGAAUAGGAAGAAUAAAUGACGGUACUAUUUAUAAGGUCCGGCUAACUACGUGCCAGCAGCCGCGGUAAUACGUAGGGACCAAGCGUUGUUCGGAUUUACUGGGCGUAAAGGGCGCGUAGGCGGCAUGACAAGUCACUUGUGAAAUCUCUGGGCUUAACCCAGAACGGCCAAGUGAUACUGUCGCGCUAGAGUGCAGAAGGGGCAAUCGGAAUUCUUGGUGUAGCGGUGAAAUGCGUAGAUAUCAAGAGGAACACCUGUGGCGAAGGCGGCCACCUGGUUGGAUACUGACGCUGAGACGCGAAAGCGUGGGGAGCAAACAGGAUUAGAUACCCACGUAGUCCCUGAGCGGGCUGGCAAGGCGCAU